Molecule: Y RNA, 102 nt
Filed under: Prolemur simus (greater bamboo lemur)
Lineage: Eukaryota; Metazoa; Chordata; Mammalia; Primates; Lemuridae
Description: Y RNA (ENSPSMG00000025486.1)
Rfam family: Y RNA
About the family: Y RNAs are components of the Ro ribonucleoprotein particle (Ro RNP), in association with Ro60 and La proteins. The Y RNAs and Ro60 and La proteins are well conserved, but the function of the Ro RNP is not known.
Source: Rfam by way of RNAcentral
GAUUGGUCCGAGUGCAGUGGUGUUUGUGGCUAAUUGAUCACAACCAGUUACAGAUUCCUUUGUUCCUUCUCCACUCCCACUGCUCCACUUGACCAGCCUAAA